GUGGAGGCUAUUACUGGCCUAAAGCGCCCGUAGCCGGCCCGGUGUGUCCCUCGUUAAAUCCACGGGCUUAACCCGUGGGCUGCGGGGGAUACUACCGGGCUUGGGGGUGGGAGAGGCGCCCGGUAUUCCCGGGGUAGGGGUAAAAUCCUCUAAUCCCGGGAGGACCAUCAGUGGCGAAGGCGGGGCGCCAGAACACGCCCGACGGUGAGGGGCGAAAGCUGGGGGAGCAAACGGGAUUAGAUACCCCGGUAGUCCCAGCCGUAAACGAUGCGGGCUAGCUGUCGGGGCGGCUACGGGCCGCCCCGGUGGCGAAGGGAAGCCAUUAAGCCCGCCGCCUGGGGAGUACGGCCGCAAGGCUGAAACUUAAAGGAAUUGGCGGGGGAGCACCACAAGGGGUGGACGUUGCGGCUUAAUCGGAUUCAACGCCGGAAACCUUACCGGGGCUGACGGCAGGAUGAAGGUCGGGCUGACGACCCUACCUGACGAGCCGAGAGGAGGUGCAUGGCCGUCGCCGGUGCGUGCCGUGAGGUGUCCUGUUAAGUCAGGCAACGGACGAGACCCGCGCCCCCAGUUGCCAGCGGCCGAGAGGCGCCGGGCACUCUGGGGGGACUGCCCCCGAAAGGGGGAGGAAGGAGCGGGCUACGGCAGGUCGGUAUGCCCCGAAUGCCCCGGGCCGCACGCGACGUUCAAUGGCGGGGACAGCGGGAUGCGACCCCGAAAGGGGGAGCCAAUCCCUAAACCCCGCCUCAGUAGGGAUCGAGGGUUGCAACUCGCCCUCGUGAACGCGGAAUCCCUAGUAACCGCGCGUUAACACCGCGCGGUGAAUACGUCCCCGCUCCUUGCACACACCGCCCGUCA
This 858-nucleotide ribosomal RNA is filed under the name uncultured crenarchaeote. RNAcentral describes it as "bacterial SSU rRNA". It matches the Rfam family "Archaeal small subunit ribosomal RNA", at positions 491 to 1355 of the family's 1478-position model. Lineage: Archaea; Thermoproteati; Thermoproteota. The record is from RNAcentral.